UACGUAGGUGGCAAGCGUUGUCCGGAAUUAUUGGGCGUAAAGCGCGCGCAGGCGGUCUCUUAAGUCUGAUGUGAAAUCCCGUGGCUUAACCACGGGCGGUCAUUGGAAACUGGGGGACUUGAGUGCAGAAGAGAAGAGCGGGAUUCCACGUGUAGCGGUGAAAUGCGUAGAGAUGCGGAGGAACACCGAUGGCGAAGGCAGCCCCCUGGGCUAACACUGACGCUCAGGCACGAAAGCGUGGGGAGCAAACAGG
Molecule: ribosomal RNA, 253 nt
Filed under: uncultured bacterium
Lineage: Bacteria
Description: partial 16S ribosomal RNA
Rfam family: Bacterial small subunit ribosomal RNA
Source: RNAcentral